UACGGAGGGUGCGAGCGUUAAUCGGAAUUACUGGGCGUAAAGCGCGCGUAGGCGGUUUUUUAAGUCGGAUGUGAAAGCCCCGGGCUCAACCUGGGAACUGCAUCCGAUACUGGAAGACUAGAAUGCGGGAGAGGGAGGUAGAAUUCCAUGUGUAGCAGUGAAAUGCGUAGAUAUAUGGAGGAAUACCAGUGGCGAAGGCGGCCUCCUGGCCCGGCAUUGACGCUGAGGUGCGAAAGCGUGGGGAGCAAACGGG
RNAcentral lists this ribosomal RNA (253 nucleotides) under uncultured bacterium. Its description in RNAcentral is "partial 16S ribosomal RNA". It matches the Rfam family "Bacterial small subunit ribosomal RNA", at positions 524 to 776 of the family's 1533-position model. The record is from RNAcentral.